RNAcentral lists this ribosomal RNA (363 nucleotides) under actinobacterium MIXRI55. RNAcentral describes it as "bacterial SSU rRNA". It matches the Rfam family "Bacterial small subunit ribosomal RNA", at positions 96 to 473 of the family's 1533-position model. The record is from RNAcentral. Lineage: Bacteria; Bacillati; Actinomycetota; Actinomycetes.
UGGCGAACGGGUGAGUAACACGUGAGCAAUCUGCCCCUGACUCUGGGAUAACAGUUGGAAACAGCUGCUAAUACCGGAUACGAGCUUCGAAGGCAUCUUCAGAAGCUGGAAAGAACUUCGGUCAGGGAUGAGCUCGCGGCCUAUCAGCUAGUUGGUGAGGUAAUGGCUCACCAAGGCGUCGACGGGUAGCCGGCCUGAGAGGGUGACCGGCCACACUGGGACUGAGACACGGCCCAGACUCCUACGGGAGGCAGCAGUGGGGAAUAUUGCACAAUGGGCGCAAGCCUGAUGCAGCAACGCCGCGUGAGGGACGACGGCCUUCGGGUUGUAAACCUCUUUUAGCAGGGAAGAAGCGAAAGUGAC